GAGCGGGACCUCGGUGUUAGCGGCGGACGGGUGAGUACACGUGGGUAACCUGCCUGAUAGACCGGGAUAACGCUUGGAAACGAGUGCUAAUGACCGGAUAGGCUCUUGGAGCGCAUGCUUCGAGAGGGAAAGAGGCUAUCGCCUCACUGUCAGACGGACCCGCGGCGCAUUAGCUAGUUGGUGAGGUAACGGCUCACCAAGGCGACGAUGCGUAGCCGACCUGAGAGGGUGACCGGCCACACUGGGACUGAGACACGGCCCAGACUCCUACGGGAGGCAGCAGUAGGGAAUCUUCCGCAAUGGGCGCAAGCCUGACGGAGCAACGCCGCGUGAGUGAUGAAGGCCUUCGGGUUGUAAAACUCUGUCUUCUGUGAAGAACAAGCCUGUGAGUGGAAAGCUCAGGCCUUGACGGUAACAGAGGAGGAAGCCCCGGCUAACUACGUGCCAGCAGCCGCGGUAAU
This 461-nucleotide ribosomal RNA is filed under the name uncultured bacterium. Its description in RNAcentral is "bacterial SSU rRNA". It matches the Rfam family "Bacterial small subunit ribosomal RNA", at positions 64 to 524 of the family's 1533-position model. The record is from RNAcentral.